RNAcentral lists this ribosomal RNA (392 nucleotides) under uncultured bacterium. RNAcentral's name for it is "bacterial SSU rRNA". It matches the Rfam family "Bacterial small subunit ribosomal RNA", at positions 29 to 424 of the family's 1533-position model. The record is from RNAcentral.
AACGGACGCUGGCGGAAUGCUUUACACAUGCAAGUCGAACGGUAGCACGGGGCAACCUGGUGGUGAGUGGCGAAUGGGUGAGUAAUACAUCGGAACGUGCUCAGUCGUGGGGGAUAACGUAGCGAAAGCUACGCUAAUACCGCAUACGAUCUACGGAUGAAAGUGGGGGACUUGCAAGAGCCUCGCGCGAUUGGAGCGGUUGAUGGUAGAUUAGGUAGUUGGUGGGGUAAAGGCUCACCAAGCCUGCGAUCUGUAGCUGGUCUGAGAGGACGACCAGCCACACUGGAACUGAGACACGGUCCAGACUCCUACGGGAGGCAGCAGUGGGGAAUUUUGGACAAUGGGCGCAAGCCUGAUCCAGCCAUUCCGCGUGCAGGAUGAAGGCCUCGGUU